CAGGAGAGUCUGGGACACGGGACAGGCUGGGAUAUGGGACAGCCUGGGACAAGGGGCUGCUUCAAGGGCAUCCUCAGUCUAUGGGGAUAAAUGAAGGGUGUGAUAAGAGGCUGAUCACUCCAAGCAAGCGUUUGUAUUUUUAUUUUCAAGCAACUGUGCUUGCUUGAAAAGAGAAAUGUUCAGUCACAGAGUUUACAGGUGCUUUUGGGAUUUCCUCAGCACAGGAGUGAUGUGCACACCUGCACCACCCCUACACAACCCCUACAUGACCCCUACAGCAUCCCUACAUCCCCACACAGCACUGCUUGAGCACCAGGAGCAUCCUCCCCUUCUAGAGGCAGCAGGGCAGAGCAAGCUGGCAGUGUGGGGUGGGUACCACAGGGAACAGGGCAAUACACAAUUCUUCAUGGACGGGACACUUCAGUUACACAGGCAAACCCUGCUCUGACCCAAAGUCACCAACGAGACGUAGUUUUAAACAAUUUUAUACCAAUUUUGAACCCAGCAUCAGCCUGGGCUGUGAAUUUUUUUAGCUCUGUGACUCUGACACACUGUCUGGACACUGCUACAGGAGAGAUGGAGCAGUUGUAGUUCUCUAGCUUGAAGCUGAAACACAGAGGUCUGUCAUUCCUGAACACUGAAGGUGGGAGAGUAACUAAUUUUUCCUGGCUAAUUUUCUUUCCAUUUCCAGCCCCCUAAUUACUUCUCUGCUUUGGUUGCCAUUCAGCUCCACUUGAUUAGGCUGUUGUAAAGAGCAGCUAUGGCAAAGGAACACAUGAGGUAGGAUCCUCCUCAGAAAUCUGCAGGUGAUGCGUUUUCUGAUUGCACAGACUCAUGUUACUUUACAUGCAGAUGCAAAGACUAUUUUGGAUGUUGAAAAUAUUCAGCAUCUGCUUCAGUUUUGGAAGGAUAAAGUUGUUUUUUUUUUUUUUCCUUAGUUACCAGCGCACACUACAAAGCAUGUCUUUUUCUCAUUAAGGUGAGGAGCUUUUGUGUUGGUUCCAGUGUCCAACUGCCCAGUGUGAUUAGAACUGCCAAAAACGGUAACCCAGGAAAUUUCAUUUUCCACAAUAUUUUAGUUCUGGCUGACUCGGUAGAAUCCCAGCAGUGAGCUAUGAGCAAUGAUACAUGAAGUGAAAAAUGUUUGCCCUCCCUCCCAAGCCUCUCUGCACUCUGCAUAAACCACUCAUAGUCCGUGCUGAGGUCAUGAGCUUUGCUGUCAGACCCAGCUCCAAAGGAGAUGUUCCCUGCCUCUUUUCCAGGUGGUUUUGAUACCACUGUGGCUUGAUAGAAAGCAAAUUUCCAUCUCAGGAGAAGUUCUCCCUAUUGCCAGUAUUAGUUUCAGAUCAGAACUUCCCAUGAGAUAAUACAAAAAGACUGGCUUGAGGCCCAGGGUUCAGCAUAAUUUGCCUUAAAUUUGUGUUUGCUUGGUUCAUGUUAUAAGGAAAUAGUUUUGUAUCUAGUCACUGCAUAUUAUGUAGAGCAGCCCUGAAAAGAGCCUCAAAUGCCAUAUUCCAAGGGAAGUAGAAAAACUAUAACAAAGUUUGUCUGGCAGUUGGAAAGUUGGUGAGUAAUGUGAAAGUGUGCCUGGAACAGGAAACAAUGCAGUUUACUGUAGUGGGAUCUGCACUCAGAGAUCCUUCUGAAAGCUGCUCAUGUGGAAAGAAUGAAAAACUAGAGCAAGGCAGGCAGGUAGAGUUCCUAACAAGCCAUAACAGGCUUUCAUCGAUGGCUUUAGCAGCUUUUCACUGCUCAGAUGCUAUUUCUGCAUCCAGAGGUUAGGAUAUAAUGGGAUGUGCAGAUGCAUAGAUAUUUUCCCUUCUUUUGACUGACGGAUUUGAAGAAUAUGAACCACAAGCUCUAUGCCAUAAAUGGGAAAGGCAGUUCUUCCAGCCUUCAUGAGAAGUUUCAUAAAUUAUUAGUUUCAGCAGUAAAAUGUUGGCUAUAUUUAUGUUUAGAGAAGAAAAAGUUGGGUAAAACUUUCCAACAACUAUACAGACUCUGAAAAGUUUUUCUGUUUCUUCCGUCCCCACUCUGGCAUGGCUCUAUUUGCUAAAUAUGCUGUAAGUUUAUUUUUUACUCUUAAAAUCACCCAAGAAGGUCACCAAUUAAAUUACUCUUCCCAUAUGGAAUUAAGUAGGAGCAGAUUAGUAGUUAAAGCAAGGACACUCUUGUGGGUCUUCUCUAGAUCUUAAUGGAUUACUAUUUUAAUAUUUGAAGUUUACUCUGAGUAUCCAGUUUAGCUGGAAAAGAAGUCACAGACCUCACAGGAUUUUUGAAAUUCGUCUGUGCUUUUUAUUUUUCUUCUUUCAGGACACCACAAUCCUGUUUAUUCAAAGGUCACUGUGCUGAAAGCAAUAUCUGCAGAUAACAAGAAAUCCUGAAGACAGUCACAGAAGGACAAAUUGAAAGAAACAAGUAGAGCACAACACCGGAAAGUGGAUGAAGAAACAAAGCUCUGCCUUUGAGAGAUCUCUGUGAAUCUCUGGCACGUAGCAGCAAGAGGGAGGAAAUGGGAGGCUAAGAAGGACAGAGCAUCUGCUCACAUUGUGGCUGCACUCUCCAUCCAAACAUCAGGCUCUGGAAAGUCACAGCUCAAGUUCUGACUGUGAAUAUCUUGGCUCAUGUCAAUGCUCUUCCUGCACCCACCUGACUUCAGCUGGAUUUUUGCCACUGACUUCUUUGGGGGUAGCAUCACCAAAAUCUGAACUGGUUUAGUCUUAAUACCUAAGGAUUAAUAAAAAUGUUCACUAGGA
This is a long non-coding RNA of Taeniopygia guttata (zebra finch), 2756 nucleotides long. RefSeq lists it as uncharacterized. NCBI's taxonomy places the organism in Eukaryota, Metazoa, Chordata, Aves, Passeriformes, Estrildidae. The record is from RefSeq and is a predicted model, not a curated record.